RNAcentral lists this ribosomal RNA (336 nucleotides) under uncultured Anaerolineaceae bacterium. RNAcentral's name for it is "bacterial SSU rRNA". It matches the Rfam family "Bacterial small subunit ribosomal RNA", at positions 1032 to 1382 of the family's 1533-position model. The record is from RNAcentral. Lineage: Bacteria; Bacillati; Chloroflexota; Anaerolineae; Anaerolineales; Anaerolineaceae.
GCACAGGUGCUGCAUGGCUGUCGUCAGCUCGUGUCGUGAGAUGUUCGGUUAAGUCCGCUAACGAGCGCAACCCUCACUGUGUGUUAUACGUGUCACACGGGACUGCCGGUUUUAAGCCGGAGGAAGGUGGGGAUGACGUCAAGUCAGCAUGGCCUUUAUAUCCUGGGCUACACACACGCUACAAUGGUCGGUACAAUAGGUUGCCGAGCCGCGAGGCGGAGCCAAUCCAUAAAGCCGGCCUCAGUUCAGAUUGUAGGCUGCAACUCGCCUGCAUGAAGAUGGAGUUGCUAGUAACCGCAGGUCAGCAAUACUGCGGUGAAUACGUUCCCGGGUCUU